GUCCACUCAAUCGUCCCGCAGUCUCGUCAUGAAAGCCAGCAUAAGUUUGGCUGCAGCAAAGGGUGAACCAGCUUAUAAAGAAGCAAGUUUGUUUUACAACACUUGCACCAGGUGAGCACUACCAGGAAAGAAUGGCCAAUCCUGAAACCAGAGACCUGCAGACCACGAGAGAUGCAAGCUUUGACGACUGAUAUCACCUGCCAGUGUGGAUGUUAGAGGACAAGGAACACCAGCGAGCAAAGAAAAAUAUAUCAGGAGGCCUCCAUUUUUCAAUAUUUGUUAGCAAGGAGUGAGGCGUAACAUUUAUUUGAGAAAGUCUGGUCAGUAUAU
Ixodes scapularis (black-legged tick) is the source of this 330-nucleotide long non-coding RNA. RefSeq lists it as uncharacterized. The transcript is spliced from 3 exons. The record is from RefSeq and is a predicted model, not a curated record. NCBI's taxonomy places the organism in Eukaryota, Metazoa, Arthropoda, Arachnida, Ixodida, Ixodidae.